This 139-nucleotide small nuclear RNA is filed under the name Nematostella vectensis (starlet sea anemone). RNAcentral describes it as "U4 spliceosomal RNA". It matches the Rfam family "U4 spliceosomal RNA". From Rfam's summary of the family: U4 small nuclear RNA (U4 snRNA) is a component of the major U2-dependent spliceosome. Lineage: Eukaryota; Metazoa; Cnidaria; Anthozoa; Actiniaria; Edwardsiidae. The record is from Rfam by way of RNAcentral.
AGCUUUGCGCAGUGACAUUACCGUAGCUGAUGAGGUCCAUCCGAGGCGCGGUUAUUGCUGAUUGAAAACUUUUCCCAAUACCCCGCGAGACGACCUGAAACAUAGUCGGCUUUGCAAUUUUUGUGGGCCCUGCUUAGGG